RNAcentral lists this ribosomal RNA (213 nucleotides) under uncultured eukaryote. Its description in RNAcentral is "partial 18S ribosomal RNA". It matches the Rfam family "Eukaryotic small subunit ribosomal RNA", at positions 1299 to 1458 of the family's 1831-position model. The record is from RNAcentral.
UGGUGGAGUGAUUUGUCUGCUUAAUUGCGAUAACGAACGAGACCUCGGCUUACUAAAUAGUUACGAGAAGUUUCUAACGGGUGAAGCUAGACGAGUAGGGCUCUUUGAGGGAAACCUCGGGGAGCUCCUCUCUGGUGGAUCCUUGAAACAUUCUCGGUCAACUUCUUAGGGGAACAAUUCACGUUAAGUGAGGGGAAGAUCGAGGCAAUAACA